UAGCCAUAUCCGGCUGAAACAUCAAUUCUCGUACAAUCACCAAAGUUAAGCAAUGUCAAGUCUGGUCAGUAUCUAGAUGGGUGACCGCUUGGGAACACCAAGUGCUGUAAG
Non-coding RNA from Acanthosepion pharaonis, 111 nucleotides. NCBI's taxonomy places the organism in Eukaryota, Metazoa, Mollusca, Cephalopoda, Sepiida, Sepiidae. The record is from the annotation of a GenBank genome assembly.